UCCUGACUGACCGAUAGUGAACCAGUACCGUGAGGGAAAGGCGAAAAGAACCCCGGCGAGGGGAGUGAAAAAGAACCUGAAACCGUGUACGUACAAGCAGUGGGAGCACGCUUAGGCGUGUGACUGCGUACCUUUUGUAUAAUGGGUCAGCGACUUAUAUUCUGUAGCAAGGUUAACCGAAUAGGGGAGCCGAAGGGAAACCGAGUCUUAACUGGGCGUUAAGUUGCAGGGUAUAGACCCGAAACCCGGUGAUCUAGCCAUGGGCAGGUUGAAGGUUGGGUAACACUAACUGGAGGACCGAACCGACUAAUGUUGAAAAAUUAGCGGAUGACUUGUGGCUGGGGGUGAAAGGCCAAUCAAACCGGGAGAUAGCUGGUUCUCCCCGAAAGCUAUUUAGGUAGCGCCUCGUGAAUUCAUCUCCGGGGGUAGAGCACUGUUUCGGCAAGGGGGUCAUCCCGACUUACCGACCCGAUGCAAACUGCGAAUACCGGAGAAUGUUAUCACGGGAGACACACGGCGGGUGCUAACGUCCGUCGUGAAGAGG
This 544-nucleotide ribosomal RNA is filed under the name Shigella sonnei. RNAcentral describes it as "partial 23S ribosomal RNA". It matches the Rfam family "Bacterial large subunit ribosomal RNA", at positions 474 to 1018 of the family's 2925-position model. The record is from RNAcentral. Lineage: Bacteria; Pseudomonadati; Pseudomonadota; Gammaproteobacteria; Enterobacterales; Enterobacteriaceae.